Molecule: long non-coding RNA, 313 nt
Filed under: Micromonas commoda
Lineage: Eukaryota; Viridiplantae; Chlorophyta; Mamiellophyceae; Mamiellales; Mamiellaceae
Description: long non-coding RNA (MCOM_LNC000446)
Source: RNAcentral
CUCCGGGAUGGUCACGAUGCUCCCGGCGCCCUCCGAGCUCCCGCCCAUGACCACGUCGUUGAGCGCGCCCCAGACGGCCCGAAAGUUCGCCGCGUCAUUCCCCGACGACGUGAAGUCGUAGAUCGGGACCUCGUUCCGCGAAGAGGCGCCCAGCACCGGGGUUGGCGCCGUGGGUCUGGCCUGCAGCGGCGCUUGACCGAAGUACUCCAUCUCUGUCGCCGCCUGUUUCACCCUGGGGGGCGUCACGGCGGAGAGCACGGGCCCGACGAUGGGAAGCUGCUCGAACCACAACUUGCCGCCAUCGGAAGCCUCG